CUACGGGGCGCACCAGUCGAGAAUCUUCCACAAUGGACGAAAGUCUGAUGGAGCGACGCCGCGUGAAUGAAGAAGCCCUUCGGGGUGUAAAGUUCUUUUCUAGAAGAACAAUUUUUGAGCUUAUUCUAGGAAUAAGGGGCUGCUAAACUCGUGCCAGCAGCAGCGGUAAUACGAGUGCCCCAAGCGUUGUCCGGAAUUAGUGGGCGGAAAGCGUCUGUAGGGGGUUUAGUGCGUCUUUUGUUAAAUCUUGACGCUCAACAUCAAGACCGCAAAGGAUACGGCUAGACUAGAGGAUGUGAGAGGCUAAUGGAACUUAAGGAGUAGGGGUGAAAUCCGUUGAUACCUUAAGGAACACCAAAGGCGAAGGCAUUUAGCUGGCGCAUUCCUGACCCUGAGAGACGAAAGCGUGGGGAGUGAAUGGGAUUAGAUACCCUUGUAGUC
This 441-nucleotide ribosomal RNA is filed under the name uncultured bacterium. RNAcentral's name for it is "partial 16S ribosomal RNA". It matches the Rfam family "Bacterial small subunit ribosomal RNA", at positions 339 to 795 of the family's 1533-position model. The record is from RNAcentral.